CCGGCGACCGGCGCACGGGUGAGUAACACGUAUGGAACCUGCCCGCAGCAGGGGGAUAAGCGGAAGAAAUUCCGUCUAAUACCGCGUAACAACGUUGGGAGGCAUCUCCCGAUGUUUAAAGAUUUAUCGGCUGCGGAUGGCCAUGCGGCGCAUUAGCUAGUCGGCGGGGUAACGGCCCACCGAGGCGACGAUGCGUAGGGGUUCUGAGAGGAAGGUCCCCCACACUGGUACUGAGACACGGACUAGACUCCUACGGGAGGCAGCAG
RNAcentral lists this ribosomal RNA (266 nucleotides) under uncultured bacterium. RNAcentral's name for it is "partial 16S ribosomal RNA". It matches the Rfam family "Bacterial small subunit ribosomal RNA", at positions 88 to 354 of the family's 1533-position model. The record is from RNAcentral.